This 3485-nucleotide long non-coding RNA is filed under the name Ananas comosus (pineapple). Its description in RNAcentral is "long non-coding RNA (ACOM_LNC021174)". Lineage: Eukaryota; Viridiplantae; Streptophyta; Magnoliopsida; Poales; Bromeliaceae. The record is from RNAcentral.
CUAGAAGCAAUGCCCUUCCCUCGGUCCCUGGCCUCACCCGGCGUGGAAGGCUCUGAAAAACAUCGAGAAAAGAGGGCGUGAGAACUAUAAUUUAUAGUUCCCAGUGGGCAAUUACUGACCUCAGCUCAUCGCACCACUAGGCCCCAAAAGAAAAGGGGUAAGUAUAAUAAGCAACAAUAAGAAUAAUAGUAACAACUAUAGAAAGCAUAAUAGACGUGCUAAUCCAUAUGUCUCAAGUAAGCAUGAUGCCAUGGUGAUGUACAUCUACGCUAUCAAAUGGUGAUAUGUCCAAUGCAUACUAAUACGGUUCAACGCAAUAAACAAGUAAACCUCACGAUGCAAUGUGCAAUGCAUAAGGGUAAACACUAUCCAAACAUCCGAGUACACUACUAUGCAAUAAUGAAACCGGCAAGUAUACUAAAUGUAUCAAUGCCAUAUCAUGAGCAUGUCCAAGUAAUCCAACUACCGAUCCUAUCGAGCAGUGAUUGACCAUAUACCACACCGUGUCGAUUUCCAUUUCCAAUUAGGGACCUACCCAAGGUAGUCCAGCUUGUGCCGCCUAAGUGCCUGUGGUAGCCCGACAUUCCUAUACAUGGAAUGUGUCUGUCCCACUCGACCCCGUAGGCUUCUCGAUACCGCACGAGCGAACAUAAGUCGCGUAGGCUAACUCCGGAGUGCCGGCUUGUAGGGAGCGACCCUCACAAGCAUGUGCGAAUGAGCACAAAUGGCAAGCAAGCAUAGUCCAAGUCUCAAGUAACCAAUCCUCAUGUCUCUAACAUGGUAUAGCCACUAGCAUCCCGAAGAUCUAGUUUAAGUCACAAUGUGAAUUUUCAACUUUUGCUACGCCUAGUGCCCCUUGAUGACACUUAGGCAAUCUGGUGUCCAACAUGUAUCCCAAGUCCCUCGAUGGCCCUAUCCACUAGGUUCACACAUGUCCCGAGCUCAAUGCCGCUUGAUGACAUUAGCUCUCUAAUUCACAUACCUUCUAAAUGACAAUCUUGUCAACUUUCAUGUCCCAAUAAACUUAGGUUUAAAUGCAUGAAUCCGAACUCAUUUAUACUAUAGAAGCAUGAAACCAAGUCUCAUGAAGAAUGCUAAAUGCAACCAAAGAUCUCCCAAGCAACUCUCUACUACAUAGAGGUCCAAAAUUUCACUACAUAUAACAUAUGCAUUUUAAGCAUUCUAAAAAUCACAAUAAAUACAUGUAACAAGAAUAUGCAUGCUUUUUCAUUUAACGAUACAUAAUUAAGCACAAAUGAGAAUUUCUCAUUGUGUGGCUAGGUCAAACCCACCGAACCGUCGCGUAGGGUCUCGAUUCGCCGAAUAAAGUUGUCCCCGAGUCUCAAAAUACCCUAAAAGUGAUCAGCGAAGAGAUACGAGGGCAUUACGACCAUCUUAUAAAACCAAUUAUUAACCUAGAAGCAAAAAGGGCCAAAACUCACCUUAAGAGAAGAAAUCUCUUCCAAAGCUCCAAAAGAGAGCUAGAACCCUUCCAAACCAAGCCCAAGGAAGGUUCUAAACCAAUCAAUCUAGCUCCAAAAGCCCUAGGUUCAAAAUGCCCAAAAUAAGCCCUAAGUAUCAAUUCUAGGGUUUCAUCUCAAAAACUUAGCAAAACAAGAUCUAGAGGAGGAAAAUGAGCAACCAACCUCCUUAGAAGCUCCAAUCCUAGCUCCAAGGGUGAAGAUCUCCUCCUAUGCAAGCUCCAAGACCAAGCCUUCAAGCACCAAGGGAGAUGAGAGGGUGAGGAAGAUGCUCCAUGCCCACUAGUAGCUCCAAACUCCUCCUUCCCUCCUUCCUCUCCUUCUCCUUCUUCUUCUUCUUCUCUAACAAGGGUGUAGAGAGGGUUGAGAGAAGAGAAAUGGGGAGAAGAGAGAGUGGAGGGGUCAUAUAGACCCUCUAUUGUAACAAAAUCCCAAGAGGCCCCUCAAAAAUCCAAUAAUACAUCAGCCCGGUCUGGGCAGUUUUCGCCCAAAGGGACCGGUCUCUCCCCAGCAGGGACCGGUCUCUCGCUGCGAACCCGAAAAACCAACGUUCGGGAACCGGUCUCUCCCUGCGCAGGACCGGUCUCUCAUUGCGAAAACGCGCUCGGGGACCGGUCUCACCCACCAGGGACCGGUUGCCUCAGGGCUGCCGCAACACUGCUCAUUGGGGGACCGGUCUCUCCUUCCAGGGACCGGUUCCCGAGAGUGAAAACUCUCAGGACCAAACCAAAACUCAGGUUUUCGAACUUUUUAGGUCGGAAAACAUUCUACGACCCUCCACCAAGUGUGGAAAAGCUCGAAACACAUCCAAACACUCGAACCUCGCAAUUUGCAAAGGUUCAGUGUGUUACAAGUGCACUCCGGAGUGUGUCAUUAACUGGGUUGAUCGUAUAAGCCUUCCCAGUAGACGAUCCCGUCGGGAGGCAGCUUAGGGCCCGAUACUUAGGGAUUGCGUUGGUGAGUUAUAGUUAACCAAAUGGUUAACCAGAUGGAUUGGGUAUUGAUUAUUUAUAGCAUGCAUGCAUAAAUUUUAUAUGUUAUCUACUUUUUGUUUCAGCUUUGUACAGGCAUUGUAGUAGUUGCAUAUUAUAGCUGGUUACUAUCUACUCUCUUUUCUUGUCUACAUAUGCCUGAAUAGACCUAGUGGGUGAGUCGGCGAGGUCGGUGGCCGAACCCACUGGGAGCUUUCAGUAGUUCUCACCCCACUAACCAUGCAGGUUUUAGCUCGUGCUGGGUGGUUUCAUCAACAAGCAUGUUUUUAUAUUGACUACAUGCAUCUAUCUAGCAUUUAUAUGCAUCAAUACGAAAUCAUGUUCUCUUAAACAUAAGGGCGACCUAGUCGCUUCGGUAAGCACAACCCACCUGCUAUUGCAUUCCGAUUGCUUGUCGACACUUGCAAUCGGCCUCCCGCGGCAUCCGGUGCUCGGUUCCGCCGGAACUUGCAGUUGCGCACCAACCGCGCAUCGCUUUGCAGCCUCGGGCAAAAAGGGUCUUCGUUUUGCUGUUACGGUGCUUCAAAUCCGUUUCCAGGAUUUUACGACGUCGCCUCGGCACUCCAGGCGGAAACGAAGCCUAAACGCCCGUUUCUUUAAUAACUUCGCAACGGCUCGACGAAUCGCCGAACUGUCUUCGCCAACGCGUUCGUUUACCUAUCAAUUAGGUUUACGGAGGGUCAAAUGAGAUCAAACCCUACUAGUAGCAAAAUUUGCAUUUUGAACCCUAGGUUUCAUCCUAUGCAAGAACUCAUCAAAUUGAUCCUAGAUUCUAGCAUUUAUCCUCUAUUUAGCAUGCUAGGAUUCCAUAAAACCCAUUUCUAGAGCAUAUAAUUGAAGCUCUACAAUUCUACCAUUAAAGGGCAUCGAAGCUUACCUCUCAAAUUAGCUCCAAAUCAUGGAGAAGAUGAAGAAGAUGAAGGCGAUUCAUCUCCAAGCUUCCAUCUCCACCAAUCCAUUCAUUUUUGGGAGAAAUCUAGAGAGAGAAUGGGAGGCUUUUCCUUUCCUUUCC